This 465-nucleotide ribosomal RNA is filed under the name Vreelandella stevensii. RNAcentral describes it as "partial 16S ribosomal RNA". It matches the Rfam family "Bacterial small subunit ribosomal RNA", at positions 338 to 795 of the family's 1533-position model. The record is from RNAcentral. Lineage: Bacteria; Pseudomonadati; Pseudomonadota; Gammaproteobacteria; Oceanospirillales; Halomonadaceae.
CCUACGGGAGGCAGCAGUGGGGAAUAUUGGACAAUGGGGGGAACCCUGAUCCAGCCAUGCCGCGUGUGUGAAGAAGGCCCUCGGGUUGUAAAGCACUUUCAGUGAGGAAGAACGCCUGGUGGUUAAUACCCAUCAGGAAAGACAUCACUCACAGAAGAAGCACCGGCUAACUCCGUGCCAGCAGCCGCGGUAAUACGGAGGGUGCGAGCGUUAAUCGGAAUUACUGGGCGUAAAGCGCGCGUAGGUGGCUUGAUAAGCCGGUUGUGAAAGCCCCGGGCUCAACCUGGGAACGGCAUCCGGAACUGUCAAGCUAGAGUGCAGGGGAGGAAGGUAGAAUUCCCGGUGUAGCGGUGAAAUGCGUAGAGAUCGGGAGGAAUACCAGUGGCGAAGGCGGCCUUCUGGACUGACACUGACACUGAGGUGCGAAAGCGUGGGUAGCAAACAGGAUUAGAUACCCCUGUAGGC